This 887-nucleotide ribosomal RNA is filed under the name uncultured bacterium. RNAcentral describes it as "bacterial SSU rRNA". It matches the Rfam family "Bacterial small subunit ribosomal RNA", at positions 56 to 989 of the family's 1533-position model. The record is from RNAcentral.
UGCAGUCGAACGAAGUCUUCGGACUUAGUGGCGGACGGGUGAGUAACACGUGGGAACGUGCCUUUAGGUUCGGAAUAACUCAGGGAAACUUGUGCUAAUACCGAAUGUGCCCUUCGGGGGAAAGAUUUAUCGCCUUUAGAGCGGCCCGCGUCUGAUUAGCUAGUUGGUGAGGUAAAGGCUCACCAAGGCGACGAUCAGUAGCUGGUCUGAGAGGAUGAUCAGCCACAUUGGGACUGAGACACGGCCCAAACUCCUACGGGAGGCAGCAGUGGGGAAUCUUGCGCAAUGGGCGAAAGCCUGACGCAGCCAUGCCGCGUGAAUGAUGAAGGUCUUAGGAUUGUAAAAUUCUUUCACCGGGGACGAUAAUGACGGUACCCGGAGAAGAAGCCCCGGCUAACUUCGUGCCAGCAGCCGCGGUAAUACGAAGGGGGCUAGCGUUGCUCGGAAUUACUGGGCGUAAAGGGAGCGUAGGCGGACAUUUAAGUCAGGGGUGAAAUCCCGGGGCUCAACCUCGGAAUUGCCUUUGAUACUGGGUGUCUUGAGUGUGAGAGAGGUAUGUGGAACUCCGAGUGUAGAGGUGAAAUUCGUAGAUAUUCGGAAGAACACCAGUGGCGAAGGCGACAUACUGGCUCAUUACUGACGCUGAGGCUCGAAAGCGUGGGGGAGCAAACAGGAUUAGAUACCCUGGUAGUCCACGCCGUAAACGAUGAUUGCUAGUUGUCGGGGAUGCAUGCAUUUCGGUGACGCAGCUAACGCAUUAAGCAAUCCGCCUGGGGAGUACGGUCGCAAGAUUAAAACUCAAAGGAAUUGACGGGGGCCCGCACAAGCGGUGGAGCAUGUGGUAUUAUUCGAAGCAACGCGCAGAACCUUACCACCUUUUGACAUGC